GAUUGUAGGAUUUGUUAGGAUGCUAGAAUGGAAUUUAGAAGCAUGAUAGGAUGAAUUCGUUUCUGAAGUAAUGAUAGUUGAACUUGUUGGAUUAAUGGAAUUGUUUGAUUGGAUUUUUGUUUAAGUCUUCCGCUGGUUACGUUGAAUUGGUUGUGUUAGUAAGAUUGUCUGGUUUGCUUUAAAUGGGUUAAUCCGGAUUGUUUGCAUGUUUAAAAGAAAAAAAAAUGGGAUGGGUUCUUUCAAUUUAUAAGAUAAAAUAUGAUGUAAGUUAUAAUUCUAAAAUAAUUAAAUUAGAUGAGUUAUAAUUAUAUUUUAUAGUGUGUUAACUGAAAUUGAAUGGAGGAAACAAAUAGUCAAUUGAAAGGUUAUAUAAUUUAAGUUACAAUUUAAUAGUAAAGUGUGUAUUU
This 407-nucleotide long non-coding RNA is filed under the name Capsella rubella. RNAcentral's name for it is "long non-coding RNA (CRUB_LNC001596)". The record is from RNAcentral. Lineage: Eukaryota; Viridiplantae; Streptophyta; Magnoliopsida; Brassicales; Brassicaceae.